AGAGUUUGAUCCUGGCUCAGGAUGAACGCUGGCGGCGUGCCUAAUACAUGCAAGUCGAGCGAACAGACAAGGAGCUUGCUCCUUUGACGUUAGCGGCGGACGGGUGAGUAACACGUGGGUAACCUACCUAUAAGACUGGGAUAACUUCGGGAAACCGGAGCUAAUACCGGAUAAUAUUUCGAACCGCAUGGUUCGAUAGUGAAAGAUGGUUUUGCUAUCACUUAUAGAUGGACCCGCGCCGUAUUAGCUAGUUGGUAAGGUAACGGCUUACCAAGGCGACGAUACGUAGCCGACCUGAGAGGGUGAUCGGCCACACUGGAACUGAGACACGGUCCAGACUCCUACGGGAGGCAGCAGUAGGGAAUCUUCCGCAAUGGGCGAAAGCCUGACGGAGCAACGCCGCGUGAGUGAUGAAGGUCUUCGGAUCGUAAAACUCUGUUAUUAGGGAAGAACAUACGUGUAAGUAACUAUGCACGUCUUGACGGUACCUAAUCAGAAAGCCACGGCUAACUACGUGCCAGCAGCCGCGGUAAUACGUAGGUGGCAAGCGUUAUCCGGAAUUAUUGGGCGUAAAGCGCGCGUAGGCGGUUUUUUAAGUCUGAUGUGAAAGCCCACGGCUCAACCGUGGAGGGUCAUUGGAAACUGUAAAACUUGAGUGCAGAAGAGGAAAGUGGAAUUCCAUGUGUAGCGGUGAAAUGCGCAGAGAUAUGGAGGAACACCAGUGGCGAAGGCGACUUUCUGGUCUGUAACUGACGCUGAUGUGCGAAAGCGUGGGGAUCAAACAGGAUUAGAUACCCUGGUAGUCCACGCCGUAAACGAUGAGUGCUAAGUGUUAGGGGGUUUCCGCCCCUUAGUGCUGCAGCUAACGCAUUAAGCACUCCGCCUGGGGAGUACGACCGCAAGGUUGAAACUCAAAGGAAUUGACGGGGACCCGCACAAGCGGUGGAGCAUGUGGUUUAAUUCGAAGCAACGCGAAGAACCUUACCAAAUCUUGACAUCCUUUGACAACUCUAGAGAUAGAGCCUUCCCCUUCGGGGGACAAAGUGACAGGUGGUGCAUGGUUGUCGUCAGCUCGUGUCGUGAGAUGUUGGGUUAAGUCCCGCAACGAGCGCAACCCUUAAGCUUAGUUGCCAUCAUUAAGUUGGGCACUCUAAGUUGACUGCCGGUGACAAACCGGAGGAAGGUGGGGAUGACGUCAAAUCAUCAUGCCCCUUAUGAUUUGGGCUACACACGUGCUACAAUGGACAAUACAAAGGGCAGCGAAACCGCGAGGUCAAGCAAAUCCCAUAAAGUUGUUCUCAGUUCGGAUUGUAGUCUGCAACUCGACUACAUGAAGCUGGAAUCGCUAGUAAUCGUAGAUCAGCAUGCUACGGUGAAUACGUUCCCGGGUCUUGUACACACCGCCCGUCACACCACGAGAGUUUGUAACACCCGAAGCCGGUGGAGUAACCAUUUGGAGCUAGCCGUCGAAGGUGGGACAAAUGAUUGGGGUGAAGUCGUAACAAGGUAGCCGUAUCGGAAGGUGCGGCUG
RNAcentral lists this ribosomal RNA (1531 nucleotides) under Staphylococcus haemolyticus. Its description in RNAcentral is "bacterial SSU rRNA". It matches the Rfam family "Bacterial small subunit ribosomal RNA". Lineage: Bacteria; Bacillati; Bacillota; Bacilli; Caryophanales; Staphylococcaceae. The record is from RNAcentral.